This 384-nucleotide ribosomal RNA is filed under the name uncultured bacterium. RNAcentral's name for it is "bacterial SSU rRNA". It matches the Rfam family "Bacterial small subunit ribosomal RNA", at positions 30 to 416 of the family's 1533-position model. The record is from RNAcentral.
AUUGAACGCUGGCGGCAUGCCUUACACAUGCAAGUCGAACGGCAGCGGGCCUUCGGGUGCCGGCGAGUGGCGGACGGGUGAGUAAUGCAUCGGAACGUGCCAUUGAGUGGGGGAUAACGUAGCGAAAGUUACGCUAAUACCGCAUAUUCUGUGAGCAGGAAAGCAGGGGGACCGCAAGGCCUUGCGCUCUUUGAGCGGCCGAUGUCAGAUUAGCUAGUUGGUGAGGUAAAGGCUUACCAAGGCGACGAUCUGUAGCGGGUCUGAGAGGAUGAUCCGCCACACUGGAACUGAGACACGGUCCAGACUCCUACGGGAGGCAGCAGUGGGGAAUUUGGACAAUGGGCGCAAGCCUGAUCCAGCCAUGCCGCGUGAGUGAAGAAGGCC